Molecule: transfer RNA, 59 nt
Filed under: Heliobolus bivari (Bivar's bushveld lizard)
Lineage: Eukaryota; Metazoa; Chordata; Lepidosauria; Squamata; Lacertidae
Description: partial tRNA-Ser
Source: RNAcentral
GAGGUGUAUUAACACAAAGAUCUGCUAAAUCUUACAACUGAAACUAAGAACUUCAGACC